Long non-coding RNA from Helianthus annuus (common sunflower), 241 nucleotides. RefSeq lists it as uncharacterized. The record is from RefSeq and is a predicted model, not a curated record. The transcript is spliced from 2 exons. Lineage: Eukaryota; Viridiplantae; Streptophyta; Magnoliopsida; Asterales; Asteraceae.
GAUGAACAAGUGAAAGAGAGAACACUGCGGCUUGGUUCAAGAACCUUCAAAUUCAGCCUUAGUGUUGAAGAUGAAGACCGUGGGGUCUUCAUUCUUUUGUGAGCAUCAUGUUGGCUGUUUGCUGGAUGCACUCGUGAAUCGUGGUCUGUCGAAUACAUUGGCUACUCGGAUAUUGGUGAGAUUUUCAUGGUUUCUAGGGUUUUUAUGUCUAAAUAUGUGGAAGCUGGUGUUUUAACUUUUG